UACGUAGGGGGCAAGCGUUGUUCGGAAUUACUGGGCGUAAAGGGCGCGUAGGCGGCACAGCAAGUCGGGAGUGAAAGCCCGGGGCUCAACCCCGGAAUGGCUUUCGAAACUGCUGAGCUAGAGUACAGAAGGGGCAACCGGAAUUCCCAGUGUAGCGGUGAAAUGCGUAGAUAUCAAGAGGAACACCUGAGGUGAAGACGGGUUGCUGGGCUGAUACUGACGCUGAUGCGCGAAAGCUAGGGUAGCAAACGGG
RNAcentral lists this ribosomal RNA (253 nucleotides) under uncultured bacterium. Its description in RNAcentral is "partial 16S ribosomal RNA". It matches the Rfam family "Bacterial small subunit ribosomal RNA", at positions 524 to 776 of the family's 1533-position model. The record is from RNAcentral.